RNAcentral lists this transfer RNA (68 nucleotides) under Aliger gigas (queen conch). RNAcentral describes it as "Strombus gigas tRNA-Pro". Lineage: Eukaryota; Metazoa; Mollusca; Gastropoda; Littorinimorpha; Strombidae. The record is from RNAcentral.
CGAAACUGUAGUUUAAUUAAAAUAUUAGCAUUGGGAGCUAGUGAUUAGGUGACAAUCCUACGUUUCGA